CCUACGGGGGGCUGCAGUGGGGAAUAUUGGACAAUGGGGGGAACCCUGAUCCAGCCAUGCCGCGUGUGUGAAGAAGGCCCUCGGGUUGUAAAGCACUUUCAGUGAGGAAGAACGCCUGGUGGUUAAUACCCAUCAGGAAAGACAUCACUCACAGAAGAAGCACCGGCUAACUCCGUGCCAGCAGCCGCGGUAAUACGGAGGGUGCGAGCGUUAAUCGGAAUUACUGGGCGUAAAGCGCGCGUAGGUGGCUUGAUAAGCCGGUUGUGAAAGCCCCGGGCUCAACCUGGGAACGGCAUCCGGAACUGUCAAGCUAGAGUGCAGGAGAGGAAGGUAGAAUUCCCGGUGUAGCGGUGAAAUGCGAAGAGAUCGGGAGGAAUACCAGUGGCGAAGGCGGCCUUCUGGACUGACACUGACACUGAGGUGCGAAAGCGUGGGUAGCAAACAGGAUUAGAUACCCUAGUAGUC
RNAcentral lists this ribosomal RNA (465 nucleotides) under Vreelandella stevensii. RNAcentral describes it as "partial 16S ribosomal RNA". It matches the Rfam family "Bacterial small subunit ribosomal RNA", at positions 338 to 795 of the family's 1533-position model. Lineage: Bacteria; Pseudomonadati; Pseudomonadota; Gammaproteobacteria; Oceanospirillales; Halomonadaceae. The record is from RNAcentral.